This 253-nucleotide ribosomal RNA is filed under the name uncultured bacterium. Its description in RNAcentral is "partial 16S ribosomal RNA". It matches the Rfam family "Bacterial small subunit ribosomal RNA", at positions 524 to 776 of the family's 1533-position model. The record is from RNAcentral.
UACGUAGGGGGCAAGCGUUGUCCGGAUUUAUUGGGCGUAAAGAGCGUGUAGGCGGCCAGGUAGGUGGGUUGUGAAAAACUGGAGGCUCAACCUUCAGACGUCGACCCAAACCCCCUGGCUAGAGUCCGGAAGAGGAGAGUGGAAUUCCUGGUGUAGCGGUGAAAUGCGCAGAUAUCAGGAAGAACACCAAUUGCGAAGGCAGCUCGCUGGGACGUUACUGACGCUGAGACGCGAAAGCGUGGGAGCAAACAGG